CCGGGGGCUGGAGUCACCGGCAUCUACCGAGUGCCCGGCAACAACGCCAUGGUGUCCAGCCUGCAGGAGCAGCUCAACCGCGGGCCCGGCGACAUCAACCUGCAAGACGAGCGCUGGCAGGACCUCAAUGUCAUCAGCAGCCUGCUCAAGUCCUUCUUCACGGAAGCUGCCCGAGCCUCUGUUCACCAAUGACAAAUACAACGACUUCCAUCGGGGCCAAUCGCAUAGAGGAUGCAGGGAGCGGAUGAAGACACUUCGGAAGCUGAUCCGGGACCUCCCAGGACACUACUACGAGACACUCAAGUUCCUCGUGGGCCACCUCAAGACCAUCGCGGACCACUCAGAGCAGAACAAGAUGGAGCCCCGGAACCCUGGCCCUGGUGUUCGGGCCGACAUUGGUGAGGACAUCUGAGGACAACAUGAUGGACAUGGUGACCCACAUGCCCGACCGAUACAAGAUCGUGGAGACACUGAUCCAGCACUCGGACUGGUUCUUCAGCGAUGACAAGGACAAAGGGCGAGAGAGUAAGUGAUGUGCGAGGGAUCCGAGUCCUGGGAUGGGGUGGCAACAGGACUGGGGGACCCUUUCUGCUCAGAGCACCCAGCCCUGGAGCUGCCCAGGCUGACGGGGCUGCCUGGCUCUGUCCCCGUCCCCUGGUCUCUGCUGAGGAGACCUCUGGGAUCCUCCCUCAUUGGGGAAGGCGCAGACACGCGCCACCUCCUGCCCCAUGGCCUGUCUGCUGUCCCUGGGGGCCGGGCCGCCUGGGGGACCUGCGUGCUGACCCCUCCUCUUCACAGACCCCCGUGGACUGACAAGGAGCCGCAGUCGGUGCCCAACAUCGGUACCUGCUGCCCAACAUCGGCAGGACGGUGCCCCCCGCGACCCAGGCCCAGAUUUCGCCACCUGCAGUUCAGCCAAGUCCAAGACAUGGUGCCACAGUACUUGGGAGGCUGAGGCGGGAGGAUCCCCAGGAGUUCAAGGUCAGCCAGGACUACAUAGUGAGACCUUGUUUCAAAAACUAACUAACUAAAUAAACCUAAAUAAAUAAAAAUUUAAAAAUAAAACCAAUUCUCCAUCAUCUCUUCCAGAAUAUAGAGGAGGAAGGACCACUUUCACCUCAUGCUUGAGACCACAGUGCCCUGAGGACAGAGACCUGGCACUGUUGGAGGGGACAGGGUUAGACCACAGAUACUUAACUGAGCCUCUCCUAUUGAUCGGCACUGUGCUCAGACAGAAAUAUAAAAAUGAGCCCCAGUCUCAAAGGAAGCUGGACAUUAAGCUAAGGAACCAGAUGUGGGUGGGGGUAGAGUGGACACAGAAGCCGGGAGGAAGAGGCAAGCUGCUCCCCACCAGGCCGAAAGAGCAGGUGCAGAGCACUCUUUUGAGCAGCCUGUCUAUGAAGAGUGUUUGGAGCAAAAACUGCAAACCCAUGGCCAGGCAUGGUGGUGCACUCCUGUAAUCCCAACUAUUUAGGAGGCUGAGGCAGGAGGAUGCCAGUUGAAGGCCAGUCUGGGCUACUUAGCAAGACCUUAUCUCAAAAAUGACGCUUCAGAGGAAAGGCUGGUCAGGGAUCCCAGCGUGAAAGGUGGGCAGCCGGGUCAGAGUCAGGGCCAUGGGCUGAGGGACGCUGUGGGAGGAUGAGGGCCCCUCCCGGUCCCCGCAGGUCUCGGCAGAGCUGGGAGGUGACCAGAGUCCCGCCCCACACGCUGGGACGGGGGGGCACACAGCCCUGGUGGAGGUACAGCUAAGGCCCAGGAAGGACAGGGGUGAGGGGAGGAGCCGCCGUGGCGGAGGGGACAGGACACCACAGGCCGGAACAAGGACGGAGGCCCCGGGCAGGGAGGAGGGGCGGCCAGUGUGGCCCUGUGUGGGCCCGCUGUGACAGCAGCCCCCAAGCAGAGGGUUCUUGGGGAGCCUGGAGAGCUCCGGGUGGGGCCUGGGGUCGGGGUACAGAAUUUCCCAGCGGACGGGAGCAGAGGCCGCUGCUUGGAGCCCGGCCUGGGCAGCUUCGCGGUCCGGGCGUCCCUGGGGCCCGGGCUGGGCGCCCUCACUCCGCGUCGUCUCCCGGACAGGCUUCGUGGGCGCCAGGAAGGAGCCGUACGCGCGGGAGAUGCUGGCGAUCUCCUUCAUCUCGGCAGUCAACCGCAAGCGCAAGAAGCGGCGGGAGGCGCGGCCUGGGGAGCAGCACGGACGACGACUCGGAGCACGAGGCGGCCUGGGGGGGGCGCCUGGGCCCUGAGCCACCGCCGCGUGCCCCGAGCCCCACGCCCCCCGCGGCCCCGGCGCCGGACGCCCGGGCUCCGUGGCGUCGGGGCUACCCACGCUGUCGUCGGCCGGCGCGCGGCGCGCGGCGGGCGGGCGCGGGGGACGAGGCGGACGACGAGCGCAGCGAGCCCAGCCUGGCGGGCACCGACACGGAAGGCGGCGCGGGCGCGCGGGGGCGCUGGCCCUCGUUCAGCUCGCACCGCCUCAUGCCCUGCGACACCCUGGCGCGCCGCCGCCUGGCCCGGGGGCGCGCUGACCCCGAGGGCCCCCGCGCGCCCGCGCCAGGCUCCGCCUCGUCCAGCAGCCAGGAGUCGCUGCGCCCCCCAGGGGCCGCGGAGGCGCUGGGCGCGCGGCCCUCGCGCCUGGAGACGCUGCGCCUGCGGCUGCGUGGCACAGCCGACGACAUGGCGUGCGCUUGCGCCGUCCGCUGUCCCCGGAGACGCGGCGACGCCGCAGCAGCUGGCGGCGCCACACGGUGGUGGUGCAGAGCCCGCUCACCGACCUCAACUUCAACGAGUGGAAGGAGCGGGGCGCGCAGGGGCCGCGGGCGCGCGCGCCCACAGUGACAACAAGGACUCGGGGCUCAGCAGCUUGAGUCCACCAAGGCGCGCGCCUCGUCCUCCGCCGCCUCGCUGCCCCCCGGGGGACUUGGGGACCCUGCAGGCUGUGGCCACCGCCUCCCGCCUCCACCCGUGUCUCUGACCCCCGCGCCCCGCUCUCCCUUGGCUUUCGUCCCCGCUCUGGGGCCUCUGGCCGGAGCAGAAAGGCUGCAGGUCACCCCUAGCUUGUGUGGUGGAAUGGGGGGCAGGGACCCCCGGAAAGGGGGGCUUCUGGUCCUGUCCCCUGCGUGUGUGACCGAGUGGGCCCCUCUGUGUCUGCUCCGCGAAACCCUUGUCGACCGUGGAGUGUGGGUGUGGAAGCCCCGGGUUUCAGGCCGACUUUUGCGCCCCUCACUUUCUUGGUCUACUGAGGGGGGGGGUGUCAGGGGAGGAGGUGCCGGCGGAGCGCCCGCAAGGGAGAGGGCUGUGUGUGUGCCCGUGAGUAGUCGCUGUCCAAAGAUGUUUCCGGUAGCAAUUCUGCCUGUCCAGUGCCCUUCCACCGCCCCCAGCCCCCCAAGGUCCCUUCCUUUGGGACGCUCAGGUGUCUGUCCCUGCUCCUCUCAGAGCCAGAGAAAGGGUUGGGCCACAGACGCAGGACUGAAACCCUCACCAAGGUCACCCCCGCAGAUCCUUUGCCAACCUCCUCGUCACUCACGCCCAGCCAUCAGAUGGUGGGGAGCUGCUGACCCCAGCAGUUUGAAGGUCUGGGGUCCCCUCGCCUGUACCCCCUCCUUCCUUUUGUUUUGUAUUGGGUGUUUUAUUUUUUGUUUUUCUAGGGACAGGGUCUCACUAUAUAGCCCAGGCUGGCCUUGAAUUUGUGGAGAUUCUCCUGCCCCAGCCUCCUCCCUCCAUUUUGCUUUCCUGCUGUGCCUCAGCUCAGGCACAGGGACCCUAACCUUCUUCCUUGUAAGGGGGGAGCAGUCACCAGCCCCUGGCGUCCUCUGUCACACUGAUUUGUGGGUUCUGACCUGGGUGGCCCUGCCAGGUGGGUGGGGCCCAGUGCCCUUGGUCCCCCCUGCACUGUUUAUAGACCUCCGGUCACCGCGGCCUCACGUCCCUUCACUCAUUCCAGAGAAGCCCCAGGCCUCAUGGAUGGACCCCACUGCCACAUCCGUCGGUCUCCCUUUUUAGGCAGAAUUGCUCAGAGACCUCUCCUCCUUCCCCAUCCUUUUUAUUGUAAAUAUUGUCUCUAAAUGUGUAACAUAUUAUAAAGAAUUUAUAAGGAUUUUUAAAGAUGUUUUGCUCAUUUACAGAAGUGCUGUAACAGUGUUGGUUAAAGGCCCCCCCUUGUACGCAUGGCUUCCCACCAUCGUGUCCCUGACACAAUUCUAAGCGACAACUAAGACUUCCUGCUUCCCAAAAAGUCCUGUCUUAGCACUACAGUCUUUAUCUUGGAAAUAAAUGGCCUUCCUCCAGGCUUGAGUCAGC
This 4293-nucleotide long non-coding RNA is filed under the name Heterocephalus glaber (naked mole-rat). Its description in RNAcentral is "lncRNA (ENSHGLG00100039506.1)". Lineage: Eukaryota; Metazoa; Chordata; Mammalia; Rodentia; Bathyergidae. The record is from RNAcentral.